Haliotis rubra (blacklip abalone) is the source of this 171-nucleotide long non-coding RNA. RefSeq lists it as uncharacterized. Lineage: Eukaryota; Metazoa; Mollusca; Gastropoda; Lepetellida; Haliotidae. The record is from RefSeq and is a predicted model, not a curated record. The transcript has 3 exons.
CGGGUGGUCAGGCUCGCUGACUUGGUUGACACAUGUCACCGUAUCCCAAUUGUGUAGAUCGAUGCUCAUGCUGUUCAUCACUGGAUUGUCUGGUCGAGACUCGAAUAUUUACAAACUGCCACCAUGAAGCUCGAAUAUUGCUGUGGAGUGGAGCAUAAAGUUCAACUCACA